This 292-nucleotide ribosomal RNA is filed under the name uncultured bacterium. Its description in RNAcentral is "partial 16S ribosomal RNA". It matches the Rfam family "Bacterial small subunit ribosomal RNA", at positions 505 to 796 of the family's 1533-position model. The record is from RNAcentral.
GUGCCAGCAGCCGCGGUAAUACGGAGGGUGCAAGCGUUAUCCGGAAUCAUUGGGUUUAAAGGGUCCGCAGGCGGGAAGAUAAGUCAGUGGUGAAAUCUCACAGCUCAACUGUGAAACUGCCAUUGAUACUGUCUUUCUUGAAUUCGAUCGAAGUGGGCGGAAUGUGACAUGUAGCGGUGAAAUGCUUAGAUAUGUCACAGAACACCGAUAGCGAAGGCAGCUCACUAGGUCUGGAUUGACGCUCAGGGACGAAAGCGUGGGGAGCAAACAGGAUUAGAUACCCCCGUAGUCC